UCUACCUGGGAACUGCAUUCGAAACUGGCAGGCUAGAGUCUUGUAGAGGGGGGUAGAAUUCCAGGUGUAGCGGUGAAAUGCGUAGAGAUCUGGAGGAAUACCGGUGGCGAAGGCGGCCCCCUGGACAAAGACUGACGCUCAGGUGCGAAAGCGUGGGGAGCAAACAGGAUUAGAUACCCUGGUAGUCCACGCCGUAAACGAUGUCGAUUUGGAGGUUGUGCCCUUGAGGCGUGGCUUCCGGAGCUAACGCGUUAAAUCGACCGCCUGGGGAGUACGGCCGCAAGGUUAAAACUCAAAUGAAUUGACGGGGGCCCGCACAAGCGGUGGAGCAUGUGGUUUAAUUCGAUGCAACGCGAAGAACCUUACCUGGUCUUGACAUCCACAGAACUUUCCAGAGAUGGAUUGGUGCCUUCGGGAACUGUGAGACAGGUGCUGCAUGGCUGUCGUCAGCUCGUGUUGUGAAAUGUUGGGUUAAGUCCCGCAACGAGCGCAACCCUUAUCCUUUGUUGCCAGCGGUUCGGCCGGGAACUCAAAGGAGACUGCCAGUGAUAAACUGGAGGAAGGUGGGGAUGACGUCAAGUCAUCAUGGCCCUUACGACCAGGGCUACACACGUGCUACAAUGGCAUAUACAAAGAGAAGCGACCUCGCGAGAGCAAGCGGACCUCAUAAAGUAUGUCGUAGUCCGGAUUGGAGUCUGCAACUCGACUCCAUGAAGUCGGAAUCGCUAGUAAUCGUAGAUCAGAAUGCUACGGUGAAUACGUUCCCGGGCCUUGUACACACCGCCCGUCACACCAUGGGAGUGGGUUGCAAAAGAAGUAGGUAGCUUAACCUUCGGGAGGGCGCUUACCACUUUGUGAUUCAUGACUGGGGUGAAGUCGUAACAAGGUAACCGUAGGGGAACCUGCGGUUGGAUCACCUCCUUACCUUAAAGAA
RNAcentral lists this ribosomal RNA (934 nucleotides) under Klebsiella pneumoniae. RNAcentral's name for it is "bacterial SSU rRNA". It matches the Rfam family "Bacterial small subunit ribosomal RNA", at positions 609 to 1533 of the family's 1533-position model. The record is from RNAcentral. Lineage: Bacteria; Pseudomonadati; Pseudomonadota; Gammaproteobacteria; Enterobacterales; Enterobacteriaceae.